Molecule: long non-coding RNA, 606 nt
Filed under: Homo sapiens (human)
Lineage: Eukaryota; Metazoa; Chordata; Mammalia; Primates; Hominidae
Description: non-protein coding lnc-OCIAD2-8:5
Source: RNAcentral
GGUCUGCUGCGGGCAUGUCCAGGCAAGACAAGUCCAGGUUCCCUUAUCUGCACAUAACAUCUGGUGUAAACACUUGUGGGGCUGGUUGGAGAUUCUCCGGGGACCCUUCCGUAUCUGCCUAGGCAUUUUGCUGUCUCCUCCUAAUACGGAACAAGCACAAUAUAAAAAACAAUUAGAGCAGUUAAACAAGGAUAUAAUACAGCUUCACUAAAUAAGAAGGAACUCACACUUAAAGAUGUGGAACGUAAAUUCUACAAAAUGAAAACUGCUUAUGAAGACGUUACAACUGAGUUAGAAGAAUAUAAGGAAGCCUUUGCAGCAGCAUUGAAAGCUAACAGUUCCAUGUCAAAAAAAUUAACUAAAUCGAAUAAGAAAAUAGCAAUGAUCAGUAUCAGCUCUUUAUGGAGAAAGAGCAGGUGAAAUAUUUUCUCAGCACUCUUCCUACAAGGCGAGGUCGAGAGUCACCUUGUGUUGAAAAUCUUACUAGUAUAGGACUCAACAGAAAAUAUAUUCCCCAAAUGCCCAUAAGAAUUCCUACUUCAAACCGUCAGACUUCAAAUAACUGCCAGAACUACUUGACUGAGGUUAGUUAUAUGACCGUUUCUC